Salvia splendens (bonfire salvia) is the source of this 2626-nucleotide long non-coding RNA. RefSeq lists it as uncharacterized. The record is from RefSeq and is a predicted model, not a curated record. NCBI's taxonomy places the organism in Eukaryota, Viridiplantae, Streptophyta, Magnoliopsida, Lamiales, Lamiaceae. The transcript is spliced from 2 exons.
UUGACAAAAUUAAUUAGUUUCAAAAUUUAAGAUAAAAUUGAUAAAAUAGCGUGGAAAAGAAAAAUGAACCCAAGCUCGAAGACACAAGAGAUUAAAAUCUUAUACAAGUAGUUCGAUUCAGUUCAAAAAUUUAUGCUCGAUUGUUUGAUUAUACACAAGAAAACCCAAUUAGUGUUUGUUAGUGAUUCCUAUGCCGAUUCUUGCCAACUAUUUCUAUCCAACCGCCGGAAACACGUCCGAGCUUCGGCGGAAUUCUUGCCGGAGGAAGAUACAGAGGCCCCUCCGUCGUAUCUAUUGCAUACAGGUGAACAAAUUCCGUGAAAUUUUUUUCAGCUCCUUAAUGCUGCUUCUCCUUGCUCUCUACCUGUUCGACGAAAUGCCCGAAUGACGAUUGUGUUAAUAAUACCUGUGUCCUGCUCUUGAAUUUGCUGAGCUUAAUGUCGAUCAACUUGGAUUUUCGGCCCCUUGUAGUGUUGAAUUCUUAUGCUGAUUAAUCUAUGUUUUUCUGUACAAGUUCAAUCUACGAAUUAGUAUAACUAUUUUUUGAAGUGGCGAUGCGGCUUGCUCUUUUAAUAUCUCACAUGUGUUUGGAAUGUGGAUGAGUUUGAUUUGAUUGCUUGUUCUUUGUUAUCAUCUUAGCUAAAUAGAGUUUGGAAUUGCUGUGAAAUAAAAUAUGAUGAUCUUUAACACGUAGGGAGUGCGUCAGUGCUUAUUUUUAGGGAAACAUAAGUUCGGCAGUUUAUGUUGGAGUUUUGUGUGGAAGUCAUAGUUUUAGUAUUAGAAGAGUUUGCCGUAAAAUAAUAUGCCACACAGCUGCAGAUAAGUAACGAACUAGAUGAUUAAGAUACUUGUGUGAUUGUUACUCGAACAAAUAUGAAACUUCCUAAUGUAAGUAGAAAAACAAAAGAAUCAUGGAUUCCUAUCACGACCUUUGGGGAACAUAUGUAAAUAUUUUUCUUGGUCUAGUGUAUCCUAAAAGUAGCGGACACAAACAAAUUCAUUUUGCGGAUAUUGUUCGAAGUUCAUAUAUAGGUGUAUAUAUUUUUUUCUUGAUCAAGUACAGAUUUUUUGGAAAAGGGUCCCUGAUAGUAUAUUAUUUCAAGCAACCGAACAGAAUUUAUGGAUUCCAUCCCCUAACUUGUUUUUUUCGAGAACAAAUCAUCAUAACUCACAUUUUGCUAACUAAAUUUGAAACUAAUGUUUUAUGAAAAUCUUGAUUAUGAAAUAAUCACACCAAUUAUUGAUGAAUAUCUAAAAAAUGAAAUAUAAAAAUAAAAGAUAUUCUUAAAACACUAAUCAUGAUAUAAUAAACCCUAAUUAUAAAUUAUUUAUAAAAAAAACAAAAUACUUAUCAUAUGAAAUAUUGAUGAAUGGUUGAAAAAGUUAUUAGUGGUGUAGAGAAAUGGUACACAACAGCUUGUGUAUAAAAUAAAAUAUAGGAAAAGAAAACAAAAAAAUGUACCAGCACACAGUUUCUCUUUCGUAAAAUAUGUGCUGUGAAAACCGUUCGGAUGGAACUGAGGGAAAUAAAUCUGCUGGGUUAGAAUACUGUGCGGUCAACAAUCUUAAUUUGUUUUGUAGUUAAUGAGUAUCAUAGAAAAUGUAAUGGAUACAACAAUGGCUGAAGCUGGCCCAAAUCAUUGAUUAUCAAAGCAAUCAAAUAUAUGUAUAUUUUCAUUAGCUACAUUAUAAAUUUGUGAUAUAUGUUAUUGCCUAAUCCAAUAUGUUUAGAAUUAGUAAGAAGACUUCUUCUCAUUGUUCAAGAUUGUUCAAAAGCUUGCAUACGUAACAUCUAUCCUCACACGUCACAAGACCUUUAUGGCACUUACACUCGCAAUCACUGACCCUACAACCAUAUACGUGUGAACGAGUGCGUAUCAUUUAGUAAAUCAACUGUGAUUGUGAAGGAUUAUAACAAAACAAAAAGAUUAAGAAAUCCAGGUGGCUUCUAAGCGAUACCACUGGCCACUUAUUCCAGUCCAAUCAACUUUAUUCCAUGUAACAAAAAGGAUUAUUGCAAAACAAAGAGAUUAAGAGAGCCAGGUGGCUGUGUAGUCCAUUGUCUAUGCUUCUUCAGAGUGAAUGUUUCUAUAAAUCUAGAGGGCGGAAAUUUCUCAGAGAAUAAGCAUAUUUCUAAGGAUUUGGAGGCCACAGCUGUCCUUUUUUGUGCACUCUUCGCCAAGAUUUAUUUCCUUGAAGGUGUAGAUCUGUCGUUUAAAGAAUUUUAAUCACACAGCUAUACACAAAUGAAGAAAAAAUUGCAUCUUUUUAUAUAUUUUCAUGAAGAAGAGAAAGAAGAUGAUAGGAGUUGGCGGGUCUACAAGAGGGGAAACCGCCAGGUUGUUUGGCCAACCGAGUCAGAGGAAAAAGAGGAAGAAUGAAGAAGCAACAGGAGCACAAAUCUCGGCUGUAGUUAGGAAUUUUCAAAUUCAAAUUAAGUUGUUACAGUUUCUGUUAGUGAUUGCUGAUUUUUCUCUAAUUGUAAGUCUAUAUAUUGAAGUUCCAAAAUACAGAAAAGUAUCUUGGGAAUUUAGUAUUGGACGAUCGUAGUAUCGUAGGCCUCCUUGUGGGGAUUUCCGUUAAGUGUCAUUUCAUCUCUCAUAUCAAUAAAGCCGAGUUCUUUCAA